Panicum virgatum (switchgrass) is the source of this 190-nucleotide small nuclear RNA. RefSeq annotates it as U2 spliceosomal RNA. Lineage: Eukaryota; Viridiplantae; Streptophyta; Magnoliopsida; Poales; Poaceae. The record is from RefSeq and is a predicted model, not a curated record. The transcript has a single exon.
AUACCUUUCUCGGCCUUUUGGCUAAGAUCAAGUGUAGUAUCUGUUUUUAUCAGUUUGAUAUCAUAUAUGAUAUUGGGGUUCCACCCUCACAACGAUAUUAAAUUUAUUUUUUAUAGGGGAGAUCCUGCCGUGGUAGCUUGCUAUCUGGGUUCUCUAGUGUUGCACUGUAGCUUGGGCUGGGGCACCCCAU